GGGUUUUGCUAUGAAGUUCAGACUGUCCUGGAACUCACUUUGUAGGCCAGGCUGGCCUUGAAGUUGCAGCAAUCCUUCUGCCUCAGCCUCCUGAGUGCUGGGAUUACAGGCAUGCACCAUCACACCCAGUUCAAUCCAUGUUUUUGAGAAGGAGGCAAGAGAGAAAUGACAGCUUCACAGAAGCAGGCUGGACCCUCUUGCAUGAACCGCACCAAAUUUCUCAUACCUUCUCAGAAAGAAUGCCAUGGGAUUACCGUGGGAAAAGAUAUUUGAAAUAUCAAGUCUCAGAACAGGAUAUUGGAGCCCGGAAAUCUUCAUUCAUCCCAAGGCGAAGUGAAUGACUGGCGUACUGUACUGGAAAGGAAAAAGGGACAAAGAAGUGGGAAAAUAUCUGGAAUUAAAAGAAGAAUACAGCACAAAAGAAAGAAAGUUAAAGAAAGAAGGCAAGAAAGAAAGAAAGAAAGAAAAAAAGAAAGAAAGAAAGAAACAAACAAACAAACAAAGAAACAAAGAGAGAAACCCAGAAUUAGAAUUUUGGUUUCCACAUGUGCUGUGCAACCUUACUCAGAUUCCUUCUUUUUCAUAUUUGUCCUUCACUAGAAAAAUUUAAAGGAGCAAAUCUAUCUCAUUUAGAAGUUUGUCGUGAUAUUAAAUGAAAUAAUAAAUUGCUAUGAACAGUACCUGGCAAAAUAAGCCACAUUAUAUCCAAAUUCCAACUACCAAAGUUCCUGUGGAAGUUUUUGAAUUACUAUUAAUGCUGGAGGAAAGCAUUCAAAUGAAAUGAAUGAAAAUAAAUAUGUGAUUUAUAAAUUCAAGUCACAAUCCAAAGGUGAAAUAAAGGAUGUAACUGAGCAUAUUUCAAUUUUUCUUUUCAUUCUGGAUAAUACAACAGCUGUGAGCUUUGAAUAAGACCUAUGGUUAGAAAUGUUCUAGAAGAUUCAGCAAGUGCUGAGAAAUGCAAGAGAUUUAUAGAAUAGAUUUCUCCUUGAGGCCUUGAAUUUUUAGGAAAUUUGAAAGAAUACCAACAUCAUGCCUGGUCUUGGUUGUCAAAUGCCUGGUGAAUAUUUUUAGGAAGCGUCAGAUGUCAUUAGUGGACUUGAGUUCCUACAAGGUAUGACAUAUAGUCAUUCCCUUGAGUUUCAAAAGAGCCAUCAUAUUUAAGGGGAAAUGGAGGGAAAAAGAGAGAAAGAAGCUAUACAGAAUAAAAU
Molecule: long non-coding RNA, 1208 nt
Filed under: Chinchilla lanigera (long-tailed chinchilla)
Lineage: Eukaryota; Metazoa; Chordata; Mammalia; Rodentia; Chinchillidae
Description: lncRNA (ENSCLAG00000028801.1)
Source: RNAcentral